UUGGAAACAUUAACUACUACCACAAGGUUUUCCGCAGUGGAAAAUGGGCAGUGACAUACGAGGUAUGCGUUCCACAAAUCCUUGGAGAAUGCAGUAAUUAGUCAUUUUGUGCUUGCUUAUUGUGCUUGUUUUAAAUCUCUACCCUCAGUUGGUGUUGGAUGUAGGAAGAAAAGUGAUAUUUUUCUUUUUUUCCCAUUCAUCUCAAUGUUGCAGUUUAGUUCCUUAUCUU
RNAcentral lists this unclassified non-coding RNA (229 nucleotides) under Hevea brasiliensis (rubber tree). The record is from RNAcentral. Lineage: Eukaryota; Viridiplantae; Streptophyta; Magnoliopsida; Malpighiales; Euphorbiaceae.